Molecule: long non-coding RNA, 299 nt
Organism: Larimichthys crocea (large yellow croaker)
Lineage: Eukaryota; Metazoa; Chordata; Actinopteri; Sciaenidae
Exons: 3
Source: RefSeq, a predicted model, not a curated record
AGGAAACUGCCUCUGGCACCACCAAGUUGGAGGCAAAACAACAGAAAAUGUACAAUGGUGAACCGCUGUGGUCUGCUAACUGCUCAGAGGGAGCCAGUUCCUCUGAAGAGUGUGGAGGUGGAGCUGGAGGUGAGGGACCAUGUGGCUACAGUGGUCUCUACUCUGAACUAUGAGAACAAGGAGGACAAACCAAUAGAGGCUGUUUUUGUCUUCCCUCUGCCUGGAGACGCUGCUGUCUGUCAUUUCAGUGCUACGGUUGGACAGACACAGAUUGUAGCUGAGGUGAAGGAGAAACAGAA